UUUCUCCCUUUUAAUACUACUCACUACGGCGUAAAUUCACAUGCACUUGCAAGGUAAUGUAAGUCAAUGGAGGCCAAACAGCAUUGAUAAACACGCUACAAAGCGGGA
Etheostoma spectabile (orangethroat darter) is the source of this 108-nucleotide long non-coding RNA. RefSeq lists it as uncharacterized. NCBI's taxonomy places the organism in Eukaryota, Metazoa, Chordata, Actinopteri, Perciformes, Percidae. The transcript has 3 exons. The record is from RefSeq and is a predicted model, not a curated record.